CCACGGCUGAGGAGUCCCAUACUAAGACGAAACGGCCGUCCAGUGC
Non-coding RNA from Schistosoma haematobium, 46 nucleotides. The record is from Rfam. Lineage: Eukaryota; Metazoa; Platyhelminthes; Trematoda; Strigeidida; Schistosomatidae.